This 1457-nucleotide long non-coding RNA is filed under the name Equus caballus (horse). Its description in RNAcentral is "lncRNA (ENSECAG00000046568.1)". Lineage: Eukaryota; Metazoa; Chordata; Mammalia; Perissodactyla; Equidae. The record is from RNAcentral.
GUGAGCCUGCGGCCUGUCGCUCAGUAGGAAGCCCAUCAAACUGCUCUCCAUCCUCUGAUGGGGUGUUACUGACGGAACCCGAAAAAUCUGUCCUGAUGAGUAAUUUCCAUCGUUCUGUCGAAUUUCCAUUUCAUCCAAUUUUGGCAUUUAACUAGGGAAUGUUUCUGGAGUGCAGUAUUUUGUACUCCCCUGCCCGUUGUCAUUUUUAAGGAAAUGUGAAUUUGAGCUUUACAGUUAAACCUAGUAUUCUCUGACUUCAUCUAAACUCAUAAAUCAUUAACGUGCAAGAGAUGCAUGCAUUAGUACAGGUACAAGAUUUUAAAACGUGGAAGUGGAUUUAUGUUCUUCCCAUGGAGUUUCCUCUUUGCAGAAGAAUAUUUGUAACUCAUGAAGACACAUUUUUAACAUUAAAUGAUCAUCAGAUUUAUGUAAGUAACAUCUUUUUAAGAAAAUAUGUAAGAUAUAUAGAACUCCUUUCUGGUUAUUAUUUUUAGGUCUCAUGCUUGCUUUUUGCAUUUUUUUUCCAGAAGUUUAUUUCAAAGUUAAUACCGUGCUCCCCCCCACCAAAAAAAAGUUAAGCCAAGAGUUGAUCGUUGCUAAUUUAUCCUUUUUCUACAAUUUGUUGUAUAAAGUGAGGCAGAGAUGAAAUUAUACAAUUGAUACUUCUGAAUCUAGAUUUCUUCUCUUUUUGCCACUUAAUCUCUAUGUAUGUAAUGUAGGUGUUUUGGAGUUUUUAGAAUAGAAUUUCAAAAGUGCCUACAUACAUGUUUAAGCCUCUGUAUCUUUACCUUCUAGUGAAAAUUAGCAUUCUAGAAAUCUAGUUCUUCGUUGUUUAAAAAGUGGGGGGCACACACCUUUUUGUAAGGUCAGAAGCCCUGCAUAUCCCUCGUGAAGACCCUGUCUUUGCCUUGGGACAGUCCCGAAACCAAGUGUCAUGCUUGGUCCUCGCUGCUCCCAUCUGAGUUUAUCCCCUUCCUGAGUGACAUGCGUGCACGAAUGAGCACACAGGGGCUGCCUCCCUGUCACACCCGCCCACUCUUCACAUGGGCCUCUCGGCUGUAGCAGUUUUUAUAUGGGUGACUAAUGAAAUAUUUUAAAGAACUAAAAAAUAAAGAUUAAGUGGCAGUAUAAGUGGCAGGAGCAAUAGGCAGUAAUCAUAAAAGAUUUUGCUAUUUAAUCUUUUUAUGUUUAAUGCAUUACAGCAUGAAGACUUUUGUAUUAAAUCAAGAUUUGUAAUCUGACAAAUUCUAAAAUGACAGUGAUUCAUUCUUGAUUCACCACUAAAGAAAAUUUUUAAUUUUUUUAAUUUACAGAGCAAUUCUUUUUUUAUCUUCAAAAUUGUUUCAUUGUCUCUUUAUACAUUGGAUGAUAUUUACUUAAUCCAAUUUUGUAUUGGAAAUGGAUAGUUAUUGCCAACAGUGACUGUGCUGGCUUUAAGAAUAAUAAAAAUAGUUUUU